Anolis carolinensis (green anole) is the source of this 46-nucleotide regulatory RNA element. It matches the Rfam family "Histone 3' UTR stem-loop". From Rfam's summary of the family: The mRNAs of metazoan histone genes lack a poly-A tail. 3' end processing occurs at a site between a highly conserved stem-loop (modelled by this family) and a purine rich region around 20 nts downstream (the histone downstream element, or HDE). NCBI's taxonomy places the organism in Eukaryota, Metazoa, Chordata, Lepidosauria, Squamata, Anolidae. The record is from Rfam.
CCAAAGGCUCUUUUAAGAGCCACCACUUGAUCACAAAAGAGCUGGU